Molecule: small RNA, 86 nt
Filed under: Epilithonimonas arachidiradicis
Lineage: Bacteria; Pseudomonadati; Bacteroidota; Flavobacteriia; Flavobacteriales; Weeksellaceae
Description: Chryseobacterium arachidiradicis Flavo-1 RNA
Rfam family: Flavo-1 RNA
Source: RNAcentral
AUGCGUAAGGGAUAAAAGCGGUUAUCCUUUUUUUGCUUUGGAAAAAGCUUGGGCAAAAAAGAUAUGAGCGUAUAGCCCGACCCGCU